Molecule: long non-coding RNA, 601 nt
Organism: Anguilla rostrata (American eel)
Lineage: Eukaryota; Metazoa; Chordata; Actinopteri; Anguilliformes; Anguillidae
Exons: 3
Source: RefSeq, a predicted model, not a curated record
AACGAUCGGGGAGGCUCUAACUCAGGCAAUAUACAGAUAUGGAUAAGUUCACUGAACAUAUGAAUUAAAAAGUACAAUCGCGGCACAGUUGUUAUGUCUUUUAACCCAAACAUGGAACAAUUGUGUUUUCACAAAAUAUUUCCUCACGAUUCAGAGUGGCUAAACAGGUUGUACGGUAACGCGGCCUAUGCCGUCCGUAGCUGCAGAUGUCGUUUUUUAAUAGGCUAAACAACUGACCGCGCGCAUGCAUAACACAGAACGGACAAACAGGAUUUCACAAUGUGACAGAUUCUGUUGGACACAAAGGACACGUAUCCCAAACAGAGAACUUAUUUGGAGAAGGUAGACAAAACGAGGACUCAUUUCCAGGUCAUGACCUGAGGAAUCAAAGUGGGCGGGGAAUGCAGGGGACUGUAGCCAAUCAGAUGUAAGGCUGGUGACUGUGCAGCCAGUCAGAAGAAGGUGAAGAAGAGGGUGAGGGAGUGUCACAGAUCGGCCGAGGUGGACAGCUGUCCCAGACGGGGGUCCGAGUCCAUCUCGUAGCGGUAGUGGUACCCCUCCAGGAUGUCCCGGCAGGCCUCCCGCACGUCCGUCACCCACC